GCCAGCGGCCAUACUGCGUCGAUACACCGGAUCCCAUCCGAACUCGAGUAGCGGCGCAGCCCGGAUAGUACUGGGGUGGGGGACCGCCGGAAGUCUUAGGUGCUGCUGCUU
This 111-nucleotide ribosomal RNA is filed under the name Perkinsus marinus ATCC 50983. The record is from RNAcentral. Lineage: Eukaryota; Perkinsozoa; Perkinsida; Perkinsidae.